Molecule: ribosomal RNA, 212 nt
Filed under: uncultured bacterium
Lineage: Bacteria
Description: partial 16S ribosomal RNA
Rfam family: Bacterial small subunit ribosomal RNA
Source: RNAcentral
UCUCAGUUCAGACUGCAGGCUGCAACUCGCCUGCACGAAGUCGGAAUUGCUAGUAAUCGCGGAUCAGAAUGCCGCGGUGAAUACGGUUCCCGGGCCUUGUACACACCGCCCGUCACACCAUGGGAGUCGGUAACACCCGAAGUCGGUGGUCUAACCGCAAGGAGCGACCUAGGGCAAAACUGGUGACUGGGGCUAAGUCGUAACAAGGUAAC